This 332-nucleotide unclassified non-coding RNA is filed under the name soil metagenome. RNAcentral describes it as "partial contains 5.8S ribosomal RNA, internal transcribed spacer 2, and large subunit ribosomal RNA". The stretch from base 1 to 120 matches the Rfam family "5.8S ribosomal RNA", at positions 35 to 154 of the family's 154-position model. The record is from RNAcentral.
GAUGAAGAACGUAGCGAAAUGCGAUAAGUAGUGUGAAUUGCAGAAUUCAGUGAAUCAUCGAAUCUUUGAACGCACAUUGCGCCCUUUGGUAUUCCUUAGGGCAUGCCUGUUCGAGCGUCAUUUAAACCUUCAAGCUAAGCUUGGUGUUGGGUGAUUGUCCGCUUCACGGCGGACUCGCCUCAAAAUUAUUGGCGGCCGGUACAUUGGCUUCGAGCGCAGCAGAAACGCGAACUCGGGCCCGUCGUAUUGGCUCCCAGAAGCUAUCUUCACAAUUUUGACCUCGGAUCAGGUAGGGAUACCCGCUGAACUUAAGCAUAUCAAUAAGCGGAGGA